GAGACCAAAGUCAGGCCAAAAGGAACCAGCAAGUCAAAUGCCAUCAGGGGACUAAGAGCCCGAGAGGAAGUUAGGGUACAGCCUUUAUUGUCUAGAUUUCUUCAAAUGAAGUCAGUGUCCAAGAAAGGCAAACCCAUCCUGGCUGUGUUUAAGCCUAAUCCAGCCGUAGCUAGCCUGUGCCACCUGCUUUGUGUUACAUAAGCCAUAGAUUUUUGCCUCAGACAGAUUUCUGUCUUCUGUAAUCACAGAAUCAAAAUGUGAGGAAGAGAGGGACUGGCUCAUCUUUUCUCAAAGCCUUUACCGGGAAGGACUCAGAGGGCCUUGCCUCGUGUACUCCGUCCCCUUUGAGUCUGCCUCUGUCCCAGAAGAUAUUGCUGAGCACCGCAGACAUACUGUGCUCAUGAGCAGCACGCCAUCGUGUAGAUAGAUUCAAUCUCUGCUGAUUGACAUUUGGGUUGAGUCUAUUCCCUAGGAUCAGACAAAAGGUAUCUGCAGCCAGCAGCGACUCCGGGGGCAGUGAGCAAGCCAGCCCUUGAGGAUUCUACCUGGCUGCAGCACAGUGUACCUGGCCUCUGGGUAAAGACCAAUUCUUCAUCUCAAAAUUGUUCAGCAAGCUAUGGACACGCUUUCGAGGAGCUGGGCACACAGGGUGGAAUCCCCUGCCUCUGUGUCAGAUGACUGGAAACCACGCUACCAUUUCUAGCACCCAGAAUCACAGGGUUUUGGAGUGAGCUCAAGCAAUUGCAGACUUCCUCUUUCCACCUGCCCAGAACUCCUGCUCCACGGGUUCCAGGAGCUGGCCGCCUAGUUGCUGGAGCAGCUAGAACUGAAGCUAGCUGAUCCCAUCCUGGAGUCCUGAUAGCACACAGGGUGCUGAAACCCUGCUUCUCCCUGCCUCAGAGCUGGCCUCCUCCGUCCCUCAGCAGUCCUGCCCAGUGCUCAGGCACACACUCAACACGCAUCAGCAGGGCAUAAAUAUUUAUGACAUGCAACAAAUGCAGUGGCUUAUAGGAUUCCUGGAGCUUCAGGCGGGCGCUCUUUGCGCAAGAAGCAUUUUUAUGUGAGGAGGGGGGCAGUGGGCAGGAGAGCAGUGUGUGCAAGCAGAGACGGGGCUCUUAGCCUCCUAGAAUGUUCUGGAAGCCUGCCCUUCACUGCGGCAGCUGAGUGUUUCCAUUUGUGGGGAGGCUUGGCUGGCAGCUGCCACCAUGCUCUCUGAUAAUCCACCAGCCUUAGAAGCGUGCUCUUCAGAAGCCCCGCCCUGAUGCUACCAGAUGUUCACCAACCAGAGGACGGAGAGAAUUCCAUCUGGAAGCUGAGUCCUCAGGAGGUGGGUAGAGCACAGGGUUCCUAUUCUCAUUGUCACAAGCUUCUAGAUGGUUCUCAGAGUGGAAACCAAGGAUGGCUGCCUCUGCCCCCUACCAAAGCCCCCUUAGGGCGAUUCAACCACAUUCCCAGCACCUAGCCCCCAAGGCAAGAAAUGCAAGUACCAGCCAACUGUGGUGGUAGACAUUUGUAAUCCAAGCACCCUAGCCAGCUCCAGCAAAACUGAAGUCGUACAGUAGGACCCUGUCUCACAAAUCAAUCAAACAAACAAGGGACUGCACAUAUCUCAGACUUCCAACAAUAAACAAAGGUUCACACAUAUCUGCGUCAAUCCCUUCCCUUCUGGCCAGCCAGCAUCUCUCACUGGUGCUGUCUACUAACACCGUUUGACAUAGCUCCUCAUUGGUUCUGAGGGAGGAGGUGAGGAGUGGUGAGCAAAGCCAUGAGACAUGAGUCUUUCUGCAGAGCAGUGAAACCUGGGCCUGCAGUGGAGUCUUGCUACCCUGUGGGCCUUUUCCUGGAGGUGUCAGUGGUGGCCAAACCUGACCUGGCCUUUGAGGACCAUGCCCAGCCCAGGCUGGAGAGGAAAAUGCUUCUGUAGUGGAAGGAGGGCCUUUCAGCUGACCUCCCACAUAGCAAGAUUUAGCCAACUAUAAACUCCCCAUUCAAUCCUUCCAGCACCAGCUCUCAAGCCACUUCCACUCCCAGCACUGUCUGAACCUGCACACCUGUUCCUCCAGACUCUAACCGCUUUCCACCUGCUCCUUUAACCAAGCCAGUCUCCUCUCCCCUAACCUCUGCUGAGGAGGUGAGUAAGGAGUUGGUAGCGGUGGGGGUGGUUAGCCAAUCUUCAUGCCUCAGGGUCCCAUGGCCAGCAUAAAUCUCUCCUUCUUUCUCUUAACACCUGGCCGGCUCCUUGUCACUGUGCUAACAACAUUGUAUUGAUUUGCCCACGUGACUGCUUCCCCCAAAGACCAUAAACUCCUUGAGAGCAGAA
Molecule: small RNA, 2320 nt
Filed under: Rattus norvegicus (Norway rat)
Lineage: Eukaryota; Metazoa; Chordata; Mammalia; Rodentia; Muridae
Description: uncharacterized LOC108352532
Source: RNAcentral